AAGGACCUGGGACAAUUACACCAAUUCCUUGGAAUCUCUAUAUAUUAAUAAUAGAACUGAAUGAACAGUGAUCAAAGGGCAUGAGAGGAAUUUCACAACACCAGAACACGUGUGGUCUUUUUUCCCUGCCACCAUACAUAGAUUCAUCCUCUCAAACCUCAUCACAGAGAAAAAAACCAGAGAAUUAGAAUGAACUGAAAAUGUGAGAAAGAUAAGAGGGUGAGUGAAGCAGCGGCGAGCCAUCUACGGAAACGGAAAUGACGGUGGUACCGAGGUUUUCGGUCAUCGCAGCGGUGGUCAACAGUCGCACCAGGUGGUGGCUAGGGUUUCAGUUUCCGUUUCAGGCAUUAUCAGCAGCAGAAACCAAUGGUGAAGGCGGUUAGGGUAUCACCACAGUGAUGAAGAUGGCUUCAAGAAGCUCCGGCGAGAUACCUAGGGUUCCGGUCAUAUUCCGGCGAAUUCCCCGCAGAAGGAUUAAAGCUUGCAUGUUCCAUUUUCAUGUAGAUUGGUGACCGAUUCGUCUGAAAUCAUUCCGAGACAUGUUUUUAUGGCUUCCAGUGAUGCUCUUAUGCACCUAUACGUAAUAAUCAUAGAUCAUUUUGGGCAACUUUCCGUUUGAAAUUGUUUCAUAUUCCGUAACAUUGGUAAUCCCAUCUUUAACUAGAAGCAAACUUAUUGAACAACUUAUAAGAACCGACAAGUGGUUUCUGACCCGUAAUCGGCGACAACGUUCAUUCUUCAGCUAAGAUCCGUUGGUGAGCCUUUCUCACAGCCAUUAACUAAGGGGGGGAUAGUGCACGGUCCUCCCAACCGCCGCAGUGUUAUCACUCCGCAAGCUAGCCACCCAGCAAGGCCAUCUGGCGGUAAAUCUCCUACUGUAGGGGCUUUUUGGACUGAGGACCUGACUCGAACCCGCCACCUCCGGGUUAGAAAGGAGGCUGGUGGCCACUGGGACACCCCCAUUCGGAAACGAUUUUCUAUAGUUGAAAUGUUUAUGUGGAAAGUAGGUGCGAAUUGAGUACUUUGGGAUGGGAUUGUAUAACUUGGUUUGUUAAAAUGUUCAUAUAUGUAGAAAUUUGGCGUCGAAUGGGUACUUUGGAGUGGGAUUGUAUAACAUGGUUUGUAUAGCUUGUAGGUAAACUAAUCAAUCACUUAUGUACUAAUGUGCAUUUUAUCAGCAUGCAAAAUUAGGGGAUCGGAUCUCAGGUGCAGUUUUAAGGUUUCUUGAUGCUUAUUUUGACUACUUUUUCUUAUAAUGAAUACCUUAUAUUAUACCUUAUAUUAAAUCACAACUCGAAAGCCAUAGUUUUGUUUGUUACCUUUUUGUAUUAGCCACGACAGUUUUACUUUGUUUUUUCACUUUGGCCACCUCAGGAAGCUUCUAUCCUUUUACUUGAUGAAUAAGAGAGACAACAAAGAGAAAGGCAGUCCUUAAUGAGAGACUCAGGCGCGUGCAGACUAUCUAGCCAUAAAAAAAUGUCAAUGACGAAGCUUUCCAUGGUGCUAUCGGUUGGAGUGUACAGGAAGUGGUGGUGAUGCAGACGCAGCUCUGAUGAAUUGUGGUGUUGAAACAAGGUCGAAACAAAACGAAAGGGGACAAUGACGACAUGGUGACAGUUUAGAAACCAUAGCCGUGAACUUAGCCGGCUAGGGUUUUUAUCAAAAAUCCAGUGACCCCUUCGAGCUGCGUGUCUCAUUUCGAAGCUAGGAACUACGAGGUAAAGAUUGUCAAAUCUGAGAGAUUAGGAGGCUGUAUUAUGAAACUGGUGACUCGACUUCUGACUCGCCAGGCAUUUUCAUGUCUGAUUCACUAACUCAACUCGGAAUUGCUUCCACAUUACAAAUGGGAGUAGAAACAUAAGACAUAGAAAAGCGAUGGUCUUUAGUAGAUAAACAUAUUUAUGGUCUCAAAAGUGAAAAAAAAAAGUCGGAGUAAGCUUUGUAAGUUAAAACUUCUGGGAAUGUUGUAAUGUUGCUGUAAUCAUCUUCUCCAAGCCAUUGUUGAAGCCUUUGCUGUCUCAAGUAAACUUUGUUUUUAAUGGUUCUUUAAUUUUUGUUUUUCAACUCAAAUUUCAAGCAAAAUAAUCGCAUCUU
Long non-coding RNA from Helianthus annuus (common sunflower), 2094 nucleotides. RefSeq lists it as uncharacterized. The transcript is spliced from 3 exons. Lineage: Eukaryota; Viridiplantae; Streptophyta; Magnoliopsida; Asterales; Asteraceae. The record is from RefSeq and is a predicted model, not a curated record.